CUGGCAUGUUUGUGGAGUAAAGGAAUAAAUACAAACUCAUAUUGCUGCUUCCUCCUUGAAGCAGUGUCUGCCUUUCUCUACCUCUAUCUUCUCUACAACUCAAAACACUUGUCACCCCCGAAUAUUUCAGCAGACCUCUUCACACAGUCCUAUGUACCUUUUUCAGCUGCAGAUUCUGUUUUCAUGAUGGAGCUGGACAGAGUUUUUCCUGGUUGGAUCUUACUUUUUCUAAGGCAACUGGGGACAUUUCCGAUGCUACAAGAGCCUCAUGUUUUCUGCGCUGAGACACCACAGCUGCAGAGAGAGCUGACACAUGAACUACUUCUACAGGAUCGGGGUGCCCGCUUUGCUUGUGAGAUUUAGGAGGAAAUGCCACAGAUUGUUAUCGGAAAAGUGAGUUAUUUGAUGUAUUAUUUAACAUUGAAAAGUUCUUUUAAUGAGAAAAAAUUGGUAGUUGGGUCUGUUUAUUUUUGUGGUAAUGUUUUGAAUUAAAAUUCUCUAAUAAGCUUAUCAUCAAGAUUUUGUAAGAUGGUUGUUCAAUGUUAGUUUAUUAUUACAGGAUAUGGAUUUAGUAAUGACUUUAAAAUAGACUCCAUUUGUAAUCUGCUGCAAAUAGAAUUUUAAUAAUCAAGAAAUUGUUGCAUUUAUGCCAUGUUAGUCAUUAAAUUGAGCCAGGAAAUAACAGAGUUGAUGCAGAUGAAAAUAUUAAAUCUGUAGCAGAAGACUGGAUAAAACUAUUUGAUCAUUUCAGGUUUAUCUCUGAGUUAACUCAUUGUGAAAAGAUUAUAAAUGAUUUAAUUGUUCUCCAUCUGUUAGAAAUUCAAUUAAAUGCUGUUUAGUUUAUGUAACCACAAACCUCCUAUUAUCACUUCAUUCUCAGUAUUAACUCUACUGUGUAUUAACACCACUGAAGGGUAGAUUACAACUAUCUAGAGGGGAAAUAGAACAAUUCUUACUGUAAAUGUCAUGACUUAUCCAUGCUCUAAAUUUUACCCACUAUAUUUCAUUCAUUCAACAUAUAUUCAGUGGUAGAAAUCAGCAGAUCCCCAGAAUCCCCAGGCACACUAUGCCCUCUACCUUCAGGGUUCCUCUGACUACUGGGAACUCUCUGUCUCUCUGCACUUACCCUGCAGUGUUGCCAUGACGUAUUUACAUGGUGACUUCUUCUCAAAUGAUAAGGAGUUCUUUCAGGUCAGGGACAGUAUCUAACUCGUUAUGAAGUAAUAGGACAAAAAAUAUUAUUUAAGGACAAAGUUGAUUGUGCCAUAUUCUACCCAUUAGGAAAAAUUCCAUUAUUCUAUUAAGCAAAGAUGACAUUUGAUGUGCUCUUUUACCCUCCCAGAGACUUUAAUAAGGGAGAGAUAAGAAAAGACUGAGAUUGCAAGUCCUCUUCCAAUUCUUUUGUUCUGCAACAUGGUGGGAACUGGAGUUCCCACAUGCCAUUGUUUAGCAGAAUGCUUUAAGUAUGUAUUUCCACAUAUUCAGAGGUGUACUCAGAGGAGUAGAAAAUCUUAGUUGCUUUGUAUAACACAGUGAGGAAGAUUGCGUUUCCUUGGGGUGCUAAAGGAUGGAGUUUGCACCAAAUUGAAAACUUGAGAGUUUGGUGAACGGCUCUCAAAUUAUCUGUGGUGAAGAACCAGGUUUUUGUUGUUUGUUUGGGGGGAGGUUGUUGUUUAAUUUCUAAUCAUCACUGAUCAAAUGCUUGUAAAUGCUUAUUCUCAAUUUCUAACUUUGUGAAGUACUAACUUUGUGAUGUACUGAUAAUACCACACUCUGAGUAAGACCGGUCUAGAGAGUGGGGAGGUUGAAGGACUCACAAGAACAAGGAUACCUAAUAUUCAAAUGUAAGUUGUUAUUGCUAAUCUAUAUGAACCCUUACCUAGGUUACUACAUUUUUAAAUUUUGUUUGACAUGCAAAUGCUUCGUGAGAUUGGACUUUGUUGUGGUUGUUGCUGGGGAUUAGGGAGUUUAAAAAACAAGAAAGGGAGUUAGUUUUAUGUCUUGGUCAACAUAGAACAGAGACAAGAGAAGGGAGUAGAUGACAAUACACAAAAACUCAGUAAAAUCAAGGGACUGAAGCCAGAGUGACCCUGAGAAUGUAAUCUCUGUAGAUUGCUAACUCUCCAAAAAUUCCACCAAAAGACACAGAUUAAGCAAAUCUAGUGUAUUACCCUUGUAAUAAGGGAGAUCACUAA
Macaca mulatta (Rhesus monkey) is the source of this 2195-nucleotide long non-coding RNA. The record is from Ensembl. NCBI's taxonomy places the organism in Eukaryota, Metazoa, Chordata, Mammalia, Primates, Cercopithecidae.